AGAGUUUGAUCCUGGCUCAGGAUGAACGCUGGCGGCGUGCCUUAGGCAUGCAAGUCGAACGGGCUAGUUUACUAGUCAGUGGCGGAAGGGUGAGUAACGCGUGGGAACGUACCCUUUGGUAGAGUACAGCUCGCCGAAAGGCGGGGUAAUACUGUAUAAGACCGAAAGGUGAAAGGGCUUAACCGCCCGCCGAAGGAGCGGCCUGCGUCUUAUCAGCUUGUUGGUGGGGUAAAGGCCUACCAAGGCAAUGACGAGUAGCUGGGCUGAGAGGUCGGCCAGCCACAAUGGAACUGAGACACGGUCCAUACACCUACGGGUGGCAGCAACCGGGAAUCUUGGACAAUGGGCGAAAGCCUGAUCCAGCGACGCCGCGUGGGGGAAGAAGGCCUUCGGGUUGUAAACUCCUUUUGUUUAUCAUAAUGGUAAAAGAAUAAGCACCUGCCAACUACGUGCCAGCAGCCGCGGUGAUACGUAGGGUGCAAGCGUUAUCCGGAUUUACUGGGCGUAAAGGGUUGCGUAGGCGGUCUAUUAAGUCAUUAUUCAAAUCUCUUCGCUUAACGAAGAAUCGGGUUUUGAUACUGAUAGACUUUGAGUCUUGGAGGGGUAGCCGGAACUUGCAGUGGAGCGGUGAAAUGCGUUGAGAUGCAAGGGAACACCGAUGGCGUAGGCAGGCUACUGGUCAAGUACUGACGCUGAUGCACGAAAGCUAGGGGAGCGAAGCGGAUUAGAGACCCGCGUAGUCCUAGCCGUAAAUGAUGGACACUAGAUGCUUGGUCUUAAGGCUGGGUGUCGCAAGCUAACGCGUUAAGUGUCCCGCCUGGGGAGUACGACCGCAAGGUUAAAACUCAAAGGAAUUGACGGGGACCUGCACAAGCGGUGGAGCAUGUGGUUUAAUUCGAAACAAAGCGAAAAACCUUACCAGGGUUUGACAUGUAAGCUGCAAGCUUUUAGGAAACUAAGAGCCUUCUUCGAGAGUGUUUACACAGGUGCUGCAUGGCUGUCGUCAGCUUGUACCGUGAGGCGCACCCUUAAGUGGGUUAACAAGCGCAACCCCCAUCCUAUGUUAAUUUUCAUGGGAAACUGCCCGCUAAACGCGUGGAGGAAGGAGGGGAUGACGUCAAGUCAGCACGGCCCUUAUGCCCUGGGCUACACACAUCCUACAAUGGGUAAAAACAACGGGUUAUGCAACUUGGUAACAAGAAGCUAAUCCCUUAAAAUUACCCCCAGUUCGGAUUGAGGGCUGAAAUUUGCCCUCAUGAAGUUGAAAUCGCUAGUAAUCGCGGAUCAGCAGGCCGCGGUGAAUACGUUCUCAGGUCUUGUACACACCGCCCGUCAAGCCAACAAAGUUGGGAGAGCCCGAAAUAUCCUUUUUUAGGGUCCUAAGGCUAGCCCGGCGAUGGGGACUAAGUCGUAACAAGGUAACC
This 1424-nucleotide ribosomal RNA is filed under the name uncultured bacterium. RNAcentral describes it as "bacterial SSU rRNA". It matches the Rfam family "Bacterial small subunit ribosomal RNA". The record is from RNAcentral.